CGCCUGCCCUGUGACAAAUGUUUAACGGCCGCGGUAUUUUGACCGUGCAAAGGUAGCGCAAUCACUUGUCUUUUAAAUGAAGACCUGUAUGAAUGGCACGACGAGGGCUUAACUGUCUCCUUUUUCCAGUCAAUGAAAUUGAUCUUCCCGUGCAGAAGCGGGAAUAUAACCAUAAGACGAGAAGACCCUAUGGAGCUUUAGACACAAGACAGAUCUUGUUAAACACUUCAAAAUAAAGAAACAAACUAAAAGAACCCUGUCCUAUUGUCUUUGGUUGGGGCGACCACGGGGAGACAAACAACCCCCACGCGGACCGAGAAAACAAUUCUCACAACCAAGAGUUACAACUCUAAUUAACAGAAAUUCUGACCUCAAGAUCCGGCAAUGCCGAUCAACGGACCGAGUUACCCUAGGGAUAACAGCGCAAUCCCCUUUUAGAGUCCAUAUCGACAAGGGGGUUUACGACCUCGAUGUUGGAUCAGGACAUCCUAAUGGUGCAGCAGCUAUUAAGGGUUCGUUUGUUCAACGAUUAAAGUCCU
Molecule: ribosomal RNA, 539 nt
Filed under: Betta kuehnei
Lineage: Eukaryota; Metazoa; Chordata; Actinopteri; Anabantiformes; Osphronemidae
Description: partial 16S ribosomal RNA
Rfam family: Bacterial large subunit ribosomal RNA
Source: RNAcentral